Molecule: long non-coding RNA, 1161 nt
Organism: Pogoniulus pusillus (Red-fronted tinkerbird)
Lineage: Eukaryota; Metazoa; Chordata; Aves; Piciformes; Lybiidae
Exons: 2
Source: RefSeq, a predicted model, not a curated record
UGCCCGGAUGAGCCUGGCACUUUGCCUCGGGGGCGGUGCUGGGGGUGUGCUGGGACACACAUCCCCCACUCCGUGCCCUAUGGGACACCUCUAAGGGACACUCCCACCCACGGGACCAUCCCCAACACUUGAGGGACCCCUUCCAGUUACUUCCCCCCCUCAGCACCCAAGAGACCCCCUUAAGGGCCCUCAUCACCCAUGGAACCAUUGAUAGCACCCAAGGGAACCCCCUCAAAGGUGAGGACUUCCUCACCCAUGAGACCUUCCCCAGCACCCAACAGACCCCUUCCAGCACCAUGGGACCUCCCCAAGGGACACUCCCCCCCCCAAGAGACCCUCCCUCAAGGGACCUCCCACCCAUGCCACCCCUCAUGGCUGCCCCCAUGCCCCCCCAAGUGACCCUCACCAAUGAAAGGACCCCCCCCAGCAGCCAAGGGAUACCCCCACCCUCAGGCAUGCUCCUGACAGCACCUGUAUGACACCCAUGGGACCCUCCCAAGAGACCCCUCUAGGACCCAGGGAACCCCUCCCAUGGAACUCCCCCACCCAUGACUCUGCCCAGGGCCAUCCCCACCUAUGAGGACCCCCUCAAGGGACCUCCUCCCAGCACCCAUGGGUCCCAUGUGGCCAUGGGAAGGUGACAGGGGCGGUUACCUGCCGCAGAUCCUGCUCCAGCUGCAGCGCCCGGGUGACGAUGGGACCCCGCACGGCGUAUUCCAGGCGCCGGAUCGCGGGGUUCAUGGUGCCAAGCGUCAGAACGGGCCCCCCCCGGGAGCCCCCGGUUCUGCCCAGCUCGCCCAGGUCACUCAGCUGCUGCGAUCCGGUCGCCGCCGCCAUGGCCAUCGCUCGUCCCGUCGGCAUUCUGGAGGGUCGGAGAGUUUGCAGUGCCCGCAUCACACAGACACCCCCCCGAGAAAGAAACCACCGGCCACCGGGCACCGAAUGGGCACGGAAGAGGCAGAGCGAUACCAACACCCCCACACACACCCCGCUUGCAUGGCACCGCCCAGGGCAAUGGGCACCGGGAACGCCCCAGGGGCAGCGGAGGUUGGCACCAGGGCAGCGAACACCGGGGCGAUGGGAACUGAAACCAGUACCCGGUAUUGGCUCCGAGCACUGGCACCGGGGGCAACGGGCACUAAAACUAGUACUGGGUCCUGG